RNAcentral lists this transfer RNA (67 nucleotides) under Dolichorhinotermes tenebrosus. RNAcentral's name for it is "tRNA-Asn". Lineage: Eukaryota; Metazoa; Arthropoda; Insecta; Blattodea; Rhinotermitidae. The record is from RNAcentral.
UUAGCUGAAACCAAAGGGAGGUAUAUUAUUGUUAAUAAUAAAAAUGAAUAAACUAAUUCCAGCUAAA